RNAcentral lists this ribosomal RNA (494 nucleotides) under uncultured bacterium. Its description in RNAcentral is "partial 16S ribosomal RNA". It matches the Rfam family "Bacterial small subunit ribosomal RNA", at positions 28 to 507 of the family's 1533-position model. The record is from RNAcentral.
GACGAACGCUGGCGGCGCGCUUAACACAUGCAAGUCGAACGGAAAGGCCUGCUUUCCCUUGUGGAUUGCGGGUACUCGAGUGGCGAACGGGUGAGUAACACGUGAGUGAUCUGCCCCCAACUUGGGUAUAAGCCUGGGAAACUGGGUCUAAUUCCCGAUAGGACUGCAGGGUGGUGCCUGUGGUGGAAAACGAUUUUCUAGUGGUUGGGGAUGAGCUCGCGGCCUAUCAGCUUGUUGGUGGGGUAAUGGCCUACCAAGGCGGCGACGGGUAGCCGGCCUGGGAGGGUGGACGGCCACAUUGGGACUGAGACACGGCCCAGACUCCUACGGGAGGCAGCAGGGGGGAAUAAUGCACAAUGGGCGGAAGCCAGAUGCAGCGACGCCGCGUGGGGGAUGACGGGCUUCGGGUUGUAAACUCCUUUCGACCGCGAGGAAGCCACCUGGUUGGAAGGGUGGUGACGGUAGUGGUAGAAGAAGCACCGGCUAACUACGUG